RNAcentral lists this unclassified non-coding RNA (400 nucleotides) under soil metagenome. RNAcentral describes it as "partial contains 5.8S ribosomal RNA, internal transcribed spacer 2, and large subunit ribosomal RNA". The stretch from base 1 to 122 matches the Rfam family "5.8S ribosomal RNA", at positions 35 to 154 of the family's 154-position model. The record is from RNAcentral.
GAUGAAGAACGCAGCGAAAUGCGAUACUUGGUGUGAAUUGCAGAAUCCCGUGAACCAUCGAGUCUUUGAACGCAAGUUGCGCCUCAAGCCAUUAGGUUGAGGGCACGUCUGCCUGGGCGUCACAUAUCGUUGCCUGAUGCCAGUUUCCUCGUGAUGGGUGACUGUGCAGGGCGAAUGAUGGCUUCCCGUGAGCAUUGUUGCCUCAUGGUUGGUUGAAAAUUGAGUCCUUGGUAGGGAGCGCCGUGAGAGAUGGUGGUUGAGUGACGAACGAGACCCAAUCAUGUGAGACCCCUACCGAAUUUGGCCUUCAUGACCCACAUGCGUCUUUGGAACGCUCAUGACGAGACCUCAGGUCAGGCGGGGCUACCCGCUGAGUUUAAGCAUAUCAAUAAGCGGAGGA